CAUGGUGAGAACAAUGGAUGGUGGCCAUUUUAACUCACAGACACUGUUUGGACUUUUCAACACGGUGCCAUCUCACCAGUAUUUGGUGCACAGAGACAUCGUGCAGUGGUUUUGGACUAUACAGCAGGGGACACAUUAUACAGUGAUUGGUUUUUAUUUAGCCUGCAUAUGUUCUGCAGAAUCUGCAUUAAACUGUAUCUUCCAAAGUACUGAACGGAUCUGGGUGAAUUUUGGAUAUGUGGUUCAUAUGGGUGGGUUAUUGCAUGUUUUGGGGUCCCUGUGAUAUGUUUUAUAAUACUGUGUUUCUCUGCCUGUGAUAAUUAUAUUACCCAUUGUGUUCAGUAAUCAUAUCACAGGCGAGGGGAGGAUUUUGUGUGGGAGUGUCUGUGUGUAUUGUACGGAUUGAUUGGCUGUGUUUCAAAACCCUGUGGGCUGUACUAUGUUUGUGGAUUGUGAAUAAAAGAGGCUGUAUGUGCCAGUACAGUCAGUUCUGCUUGACCUCAAAACGAAGUGUGGUCUCGUUAUUGGGGGAUUGGAUUGUAU
Molecule: non-coding RNA, 543 nt
Organism: Pelobates cultripes (western spadefoot toad)
Lineage: Eukaryota; Metazoa; Chordata; Amphibia; Anura; Pelobatidae
Source: the annotation of a GenBank genome assembly